Molecule: ribosomal RNA, 258 nt
Filed under: uncultured bacterium
Lineage: Bacteria
Description: partial 16S ribosomal RNA
Rfam family: Bacterial small subunit ribosomal RNA
Source: RNAcentral
GUCCACGCCGUAAACGAUGUCUACUUGAAGGUUGUGGCCUUGAGCCGUGGCUUUCGGAGCUAACGCGUUAAGUAGACCGCCUGGGGAGUACGGUCGCAAGAUUAAAACUCAAAUGAAUUGACGGGGGCCCGCACAAGCGGUGGAGCAUGUGGUUUAAUUCGAUGCAACGCGAAGAACCUUACCUACUCUUGACAUCCAGAGAAUUCGCUAGAGAUAGCUUAGUGCCUUCGGGAACUCUGAGACAGGUGCUGCAUGGCU